UUGCGCUGGUUGCUGGGGAGAUGAUUAUGAUGCCACAGAUCGGCUGAUGCCCCAUCUCCAGCAGGGAAUCAGGAGCAGGCCCAGCUGAGCUCUCAAAAUGCAAGGACUCUGGCUCCACACAGGCUUCCUUCAGAAUACAGAGCAUAGAGGAGGAAAGGAAAAGCUGUCCCUCCUCAGCCUCUCUGGGAUGUUUCCCAGGAACGGCCAGUGAAGGUAACCUCCACAGCAGACAUGAUCCAUUGUUGCUGGCAGAGCAGCCCAGACCCAAGAGAUGGACUGCACUAUGGGUGGAUGCGUUCCUGCCACAUUUAGGACCAAACAUCGAUAAAACAUCCCCUUCCCUUCAGCUGUAACAAUGCCUCACCUUUGGAACAACCCUGCACUGGGCUGGAGGUGAAAGCUAUGAGUUACUUGUUACGUAUGACACCCUUGGGAUUCUGGUACGCUGGCACCAGCACCCUCCAUCCUGCUCUUUCUGGUCCUUACUGCUCAGUCAUGGGAUCUACACCACAGGAAUUAAUUCAUGGAAGUUCUAUGGACCAACUCAGGAAUCAGACCAGACUGAUAAUCACAAUGGCUCCUUCUGUCCUCAUAAUCCGUGCAUCCAUGAAUCUAUGAAAAAUGCAUUUCAGCCAACAGUUGGGAGACUUAUAGCACAGUAAUGAAUUCUGCAAACUAGCAAGGAAGAGAGCAAACAUCUGCACUGCCAACAGUACCUUGUUCACUGACUUUAACAGUGCAGAGAAGUUUUAAUUAUUCAUGACUCUCCUUCUCUGAGUCCUAGUAAAUGCGCUGGAGUCUCAGACAGC
Mauremys reevesii (Reeves's turtle) is the source of this 809-nucleotide long non-coding RNA. RefSeq lists it as uncharacterized. The transcript is spliced from 3 exons. Lineage: Eukaryota; Metazoa; Chordata; Testudines; Geoemydidae. The record is from RefSeq and is a predicted model, not a curated record.